RNAcentral lists this ribosomal RNA (484 nucleotides) under Sporisorium reilianum. RNAcentral's name for it is "eukaryotic LSU rRNA". It matches the Rfam family "Eukaryotic large subunit ribosomal RNA", at positions 88 to 571 of the family's 3401-position model. The record is from RNAcentral. Lineage: Eukaryota; Fungi; Basidiomycota; Ustilaginomycetes; Ustilaginales; Ustilaginaceae.
GGCGAGUGAAGAGGGAAGAGCCCAAGAUUGAAAGCUGGCGUCUUCGACGUCCGCAUUGUAAUCUCAAGAAGCGUUUUCCGCUUCGGACCAUGCCUAAGUCCCUUGGAAAAGGGCAUCAUAGAGGGUGAUAAUCCCGUACAUGGCAUGGAGCGCCCGAAGCUUUGUGAUACGUUUUCUAAGAGUCGAGUUGUUUGGGAAUGCAGCUCAAAAUGGGUGGUAAAUGCCAUCUAAGGCUAAAUAUUGGGGAGAGACCGAUAGCGAACAAGUACAGUGAUGGAAAGAUGAAAAGAACUUUGAAAAGAGAGUUAAACAGUACGUGAAAUUGCCAAAAGGGAAGGGUAGGAGGUCAGAGAUGCGUCUUGGAAUUCAGCCUUGCUUUUUGCUUGGUGUUUUUUCCAAGUUUGCAGGCCAACGUCGGUUUUGGGCACUGGAGAAGGGUGGAAGGAACGUGGCACCCCUCGGGGUGUGUUAUAGCCUUCCACUG